RNAcentral lists this ribosomal RNA (319 nucleotides) under uncultured eukaryote. RNAcentral's name for it is "partial 18S ribosomal RNA". It matches the Rfam family "Eukaryotic small subunit ribosomal RNA", at positions 1470 to 1796 of the family's 1831-position model. The record is from RNAcentral.
CCCUUAGAUGUUCUGGGCAGCACGCGCGCUACAAUGGUCUUCGCAAACGGAUGCAUUCUCGAAGGAGAAUGCCAAUCUUGGAAUCUAUGCCUUGGUCGGGACAGUUGCUUGCAAUUUUUCGACUCGAACCAGGAAUUCCUUGUAAUCGUGAUUCAUCACAUCACGAUGAUUACGUCCCUGCCCUUUGUACACACCGCCCGUCGCACCUACCGAUUGAAUGGUCCGGUGAAAUCUCCGGACUGGCGUGAGUCGGAGCAAUCUGACAAACACCGGAAAGUUGAUUAAACCUUACCAUUUAGAGGAAGGUGAAGUCGUAACA